AACCUGGUUGAUCCUGCCAGUAGUCAUAUGCUUGUCUCAAAGAUUAAGCCAUGCAUGUCUAAGUAUAAACUGCUUUAUACUGUGAAACUGCGAAUGGCUCAUUAAAUCAGUUAUAGUUUAUUUGAUGGUACCUACUUACUCGGAUACCCGUAGUAAUUCUAGAGCUAAUACGUGCGCACAUCCCGACUUCUGGAAGGGACGUAUUUAUUAGAUAAAAGGCCGACCGGGCUUGCCCGACUCGCGGUGACUCAUGAUAACUUCACGAAUCGCAUGGCCUCGCGCCGGCGAUGUUUCAUUCAAAUUUCUGCCCUAUCAACUUUUGAUGGUAGGAUAGAGGCCUACCAUGGUGGUAACGGGUGACGGAGAAUUAGGGUUCGAUUCCGGAGAGGGAGCCUGAGAAACGGCUACCACAUCCAAGGAAGGCAGCAGGCCCGCCAAUUACCCCAUUCUGACACAGGGGAAGUAGUGAACAAUAAAUAACAAUAACCGGGCCUUUGGGUCUGGGUAAUUGGAAAUGAAGUACCACCCU
Molecule: ribosomal RNA, 529 nt
Filed under: uncultured marine eukaryote
Lineage: Eukaryota
Description: SSU rRNA
Rfam family: Eukaryotic small subunit ribosomal RNA
Source: RNAcentral